This 274-nucleotide ribosomal RNA is filed under the name uncultured bacterium. RNAcentral describes it as "partial 16S ribosomal RNA". It matches the Rfam family "Bacterial small subunit ribosomal RNA", at positions 523 to 796 of the family's 1533-position model. The record is from RNAcentral.
GUACGGAGGGUGCAAGCGUUAUUCGGAAUCACUGGGCGUAAAGGACGCGUAGGCGGGUUGGCAAGUCAGAUGUGAAAUCCUACAGCUUAACUGUAGAACUGCAUUUGAAACUGCCAACCUAGAGUAUGGGAGGGGGAGAUGGAAUUAGUGGUGUAGGGGUAAAAUCCGUAGAUAUCACUAGGAAUACCGAAAGCGAAGGCGAUCUCCUGGAACAUAACUGACGCUAAGGCGUGAAAGCGUGGGGAGCAAACAGGAUUAGAUACCCUAGUAGUCC